This 37-nucleotide transfer RNA is filed under the name Moniliophthora perniciosa FA553. RNAcentral describes it as "tRNA-His". Lineage: Eukaryota; Fungi; Basidiomycota; Agaricomycetes; Agaricales; Marasmiaceae. The record is from RNAcentral.
ACAUUGUCGACGUAAUAACCAGCUACACCAUCGAACC